This is a non-coding RNA of Phalacrocorax carbo (great cormorant), 499 nucleotides long. The record is from RefSeq and is a predicted model, not a curated record. Lineage: Eukaryota; Metazoa; Chordata; Aves; Suliformes; Phalacrocoracidae.
UGACAGGAAUUUUCACAUAUAUUUUCAGGUCACGUGUAAACGGAUCACACAGAAAGAUAAGCAAAAUCAGAUGAUGAAGCAAACUGUGCGGGAUCUGGAGAAAGAGGACUUGAAAGAAGAGGAGGACAAGAAACACAGUCAAGAAGCUUGCUAUGGAAGCACUACUCUUCAUUUUUAAUGUCAAUAACAUGGUACUGAAAAAAAUAUAGGAAAUAAUUGUGAUUGUAUAAGCAAGUCUUGUCUUCAGAUCAGCUCCCAACUCCUAGUGGAAUUUACCCCAGGAUUCCAGGUGUUACUGUGGGAGAUUAUACAGAAGAAUAGAUGGAUGAAGUCACCUAGCCAAUGAUGAGUCAAAGGUAGAUUGCAAAGCCCUGUUUCCGUGCCAAUGAAUGUUUUAUCUUUUCUCUUUAAAAAUAUUCCAUUUUUAAUGACCAUUACCUAAGCAUUACAAUUUGAGCCUCUUCUUACAAAACCUUAAUUAAAUUUAAUUAAUAUUGAA